UGGCGAACGGGUGAGUAACACGUGGGUGAUCUGCCCUGCACUCUGGGAUAAGCCUGGGAAACUGGGUCUAAUACCGGAUAGGAUCAUGCUUUAGUGUGUGUGGUGGAAAGUUUUUUCGGUGUAGGAUGAGCCCGCGGCCUAUCAGCUUGUUGGUGGGGUAAUGGCCUACCAAGGCGGCGACGGGUAGCCGGACUGAGAGGUUGGUCAGCCACAUUGGGACUGAGAUACGGCCCAG
This 235-nucleotide ribosomal RNA is filed under the name uncultured Actinomycetales bacterium. RNAcentral describes it as "partial 16S ribosomal RNA". It matches the Rfam family "Bacterial small subunit ribosomal RNA", at positions 96 to 334 of the family's 1533-position model. Lineage: Bacteria; Bacillati; Actinomycetota; Actinomycetes; Actinomycetales. The record is from RNAcentral.